AGUGAACGCUGGCGGUAGGCCUAACACAUGCAAGUCGAACGGCAGCACAGGAGAGCUUGCUCUCUGGGUGGCGAGUGGCGGACGGGUGAGGAAUACACCGGAAUCUACUCUGUCGUGGGGGAUAACGUAGGGAAACUUACGCUAAUACCGCAUACGACCUACGGGUGAAAGCAGGGGAUCUUCGGACCUUGCGCGAUUGAAUGAGCCGAUGUCGGAUUAGCUAGUUGGCGGGGUAAAGGCCCACCAAGGCGACGAUCCGUAGCUGGUCUGAGAGGAUGAUCAGCCACACUGGAACUGAGACACGGUCCAGACUCCUACGGGAGGCAGCAGUGGGGAAUAUUGGACAAUGGGCGCAAGCCUGAUCCAGCCAUACCGCGUGGGUGAAGAAGGCCUUCGGGUUGUAAAGCCCUUUUGUUGGGAAAGAAAUCCAGCUGGCUAAUACCCGGUUGGGAUGACGGUACCCAAAGAAUAAACACCGGCUAACUUCGUGCCAGCAGCCGCAGUAA
Molecule: ribosomal RNA, 506 nt
Filed under: uncultured bacterium
Lineage: Bacteria
Description: partial 16S ribosomal RNA
Rfam family: Bacterial small subunit ribosomal RNA
Source: RNAcentral